This 422-nucleotide ribosomal RNA is filed under the name uncultured bacterium. RNAcentral's name for it is "bacterial SSU rRNA". It matches the Rfam family "Bacterial small subunit ribosomal RNA", at positions 355 to 774 of the family's 1533-position model. The record is from RNAcentral.
UGAGGAAUAUUGGUCAAUGGGCGCGAGCCUGAACCAGCCAAGUAGCGUGAAGGAUGACUGCCCUAUGGGUUGUAAACUUCUUUUAUACGGGAAUAACAUCACCUACGUGUAGGUGCCUGUAUGUACCGUACGAAUAAGGAUCGGCUAACUCCGUGCCAGCAGCCGCGGUAAUACGGAGGAUCCGAGCGUUAUCCGGAUUUAUUGGGUUUAAAGGGUGCGUAGGCGGACUGUUAAGUCAGCUGUGAAAGUUUGCGGCUCAACCGUAAAAUUGCAGUUGAAACUGCCAGUCUUGAGUGUACAUGAGGUAGGCGGAAUUCGUGGUGUAGCGGUGAAAUGCUUAGAUAUCACGAAGAACUCCGAUUGCGUAGGCAGCUUACUAGGGUACAACUGACGCUGAGGCACGAAAGUGUGGGUAUCAAACA